GCCGCGGGCUCCGCGCCGGCGCGGGGGAUGCGCGGGGGAUGCUCGGGGCCGCAUCGGGACCCGCAGCGCCCAGCCCACGCCGUGGUUUCCACACCCCCUAUUUCUGGGUAGCCGCGGUUAUGGAGUUCUCUUAAGCCAAGCAGCGCCAGCAUCCCUUGGAAAGUUUUCCCGCCCCAAAGGCAUCGGCAGCUCAGCUGGAGGGCUGGAGCAGAAGAAAGCGUGGCUUGUGCUGCUGAUGGAGCCAGCCUUUCUGGAAUGUGAAUAAGAGCUUUCACUUAAUGCACAUCGCUGCACUGCCUUGAUCACUGCAUUUGAUAAGCCUGCUGAAAUUA
Molecule: long non-coding RNA, 332 nt
Organism: Melozone crissalis (California towhee)
Lineage: Eukaryota; Metazoa; Chordata; Aves; Passeriformes; Passerellidae
Exons: 3
Source: RefSeq, a predicted model, not a curated record